UACUCGUCUAGUGCGCGUCGACACGGACACGGGUCGCGUACGUUUAUACUACCGCGGACGGCGUGCACUUCUCUCUCAGUAUAUCUAUUUGCAUCGCGACCCGUUCGAUGUCGGUCUAAGCGCCGUUCGGGAGCCCCGCGGUCUGCGUUCGCGCGCAGUCUGCGGGACCGCGACGGUCGCCGACCGGCCGUCGGACGGUACACCGUAUAGAGGAAUCGCGCACGCGUUUCAAACGCGUCCGGCCCGACGCAAGGCGAUGCGUCGUCAUCGAGAUCCUGCCGUUAAGUGCGGAUAUCGGUGCGACGCGCCUGUCGUCGCCGCCGUGUAGUCUCGGACUGUGCGCGUCUCCGUCUGCGA
RNAcentral lists this ribosomal RNA (357 nucleotides) under Melittia snowii. RNAcentral describes it as "partial large subunit ribosomal RNA". The record is from RNAcentral. Lineage: Eukaryota; Metazoa; Arthropoda; Insecta; Lepidoptera; Sesiidae.